Molecule: ribosomal RNA, 458 nt
Filed under: uncultured bacterium
Lineage: Bacteria
Description: bacterial SSU rRNA
Rfam family: Bacterial small subunit ribosomal RNA
Source: RNAcentral
UACGGAAGGCAGCAGUGGGGAAUAUUGCACAAUGGGCGCAAGCCUGAUGCAGCCAUGCCGCGUGUAUGGAGAAAGGCCUUCGGGUUGUAAAAGUACUUUUCAGUCGUGAGGAAGGUGUUAAGGUUAAUAACCUUAGCAAUUGACGUUAGCGACAGAAGAAGCACCGGCUAACUCCGUGCCAGCAGCCGCGGUAAUACGGAGGGUGCGAGCGUUAAUCGGAAUUACUGGGCGUAAAGGGCACGCAGGCGGUUAAUUAAGUUGGAUGUGAAAUCCCCGGGCUUAACCUGGGAAUGGCAUUCAAGACUGGUUAGCUAGAGUCUUGUAGAGGGGGUAGAAUUCCAUGUGUAGCGGUGAAAUGCGUAGAGAUGUGGAGGAAUACCGGGUGGCGAAGGCGGCCCCUGGGACAAAGACUGACGCUCAUGUGCGAAAGCGUGGGGAGCAAACGAGGAUUAGAUACC